This is a non-coding RNA of Pelobates cultripes (western spadefoot toad), 221 nucleotides long. Lineage: Eukaryota; Metazoa; Chordata; Amphibia; Anura; Pelobatidae. The record is from the annotation of a GenBank genome assembly.
AUUUAUUGUAUGCUGUUCCAGUUUGACUGCUAGGAGUGUAAACCUAUUCGCAUGGUUUUUCCUAUUCGGCUGUAUACAACAUUCAAUGCUUGAGAGCAUUCAUAUGCUUCUCCGGUUCGGUGGUUGUGGUGUCUGCUGCAGUGCUUGGAGUCCUCAGGAAGCGCUAGGAGCAUCCUUCAACGGAGGUACCCAGUCAGGGUGCCAGGUGAUCCGUUACACAC